UUUGUUUUGAGUUGAGUCUUGGUUCACCUAACUACUAGGCUUUGAAUUUAAUGGGUAAUAUUUUGUUUUGAGUGCAUGCAAGCAUGAUUCCGCCUUUAAUUUGUUAAUUGCAUGCUAUAGAUGUUGCUCAAAUGAACAUGUUUUUCACAAAAUUUCCUUCAAGUGGUAUCAGAGCCUAGGUUUAGUGGUUGGUGAAUCCUUUUGGGUUUUGUAUUUUUCAUAGUUUAUGAUUUGAAUGUUGUAAUUGUUACAAGCUUUAUUCUUGCUUCUUUGAAUGUAAAUUUUGCUAGAAAAUUUGCCUUCUCAAAUGUUGUAGAUGUAGUUCAUAUGAGCAUGAAUUUUGAAGCUAAAAUUUGGUGCCAUGUUUUUGGGGAUUUUCGGCCAAAUCCAAAGGGUGAUUUUUUGGGUUCUUGUUUGACUUGUUAAAAGUGUUUUAAGGUGACUUUUGGAACCCCUAAGUACCCUAGGAUGUUAACCCCAUUUUGAGUUGUGAAAAAUUGAGUUUUAUUGAGUGAAAAUGUUCAUGGAACUCUUAUGGGUUUUCAUGGAUGUUCUUCAUUGUUCUUGCCAAGAACAAAAAGGUUUGAUGUUUUGAUUCAAAGUUUUGGUUGAUUUCAUAAAGUCUUUGUUUUGUGUUGGUUGGUGUGACUUAUAUAUCAACAAAACAUUUAUUGAAAUUUUGAAAGGUGAUAGAAAUGGUGAUGGGUGUGUAAGAAGUACUUCUCUUACACACACACCACUUGCAUGGCUUUAUUCACACCAACCUAUUUCCACUUGCAUGGCUUUAUGACUUAGUUGAAAAAUUUUCAAAAUUUUUGUGACCUCACUCCUCUCCAAAACCGGCCACUCCCUCAAAGGGAGUGCUUUUGGGGCUUUUAUGCAAUUACAUAAAGUUUUGGUACUUUUGUGUAUUUUGUAGUUUGACCCAAAAGUUUACGUAUUUACGUAAAGGCCCAAAAUCAUUAAAGGACAAAUUGUUUUGUUCCUUUAAUGAAGUUUUUCAAUUUGUUGAAAUUUUUGGGUUCUAGUUGUGAUUACAUGAAGUAGUGGACUUUUGUGUUUUUACAAAAUGAGCUCAAAAGUUUAAGUUUUGCAACAUAGCCCAAAAGGUUGAGGUUAUUGCAUUUUGGCCCAAAUUAGGUUGAGAACAAAAUGGUUUUGUCUCUUUAAAUGAGAAUUG
This 1180-nucleotide long non-coding RNA is filed under the name Malus domestica (apple). Its description in RNAcentral is "long non-coding RNA (MDOM_LNC016963)". The record is from RNAcentral. Lineage: Eukaryota; Viridiplantae; Streptophyta; Magnoliopsida; Rosales; Rosaceae.